RNAcentral lists this transfer RNA (76 nucleotides) under Candidatus Methanophagales archaeon. RNAcentral's name for it is "Methanophagales archaeon tRNA-Arg". It matches the Rfam family "tRNA". Rfam says of the family: Transfer RNA (tRNA) molecules are approximately 80 nucleotides in length. Their secondary structure includes four short double-helical elements and three loops (D, anti-codon, and T loops). The record is from RNAcentral. Lineage: Archaea; Methanobacteriati; Methanobacteriota; Methanomicrobia; Candidatus Methanophagales.
GGGCGUGUGGCCUAGUCAGGACACGGCGGCAGCCUCCUAUAGCUGCAAAUCGCGGGUUCAAAUCCCGUCACGCCCG